This 417-nucleotide ribosomal RNA is filed under the name uncultured eukaryote. RNAcentral describes it as "bacterial SSU rRNA". It matches the Rfam family "Eukaryotic small subunit ribosomal RNA", at positions 592 to 1018 of the family's 1831-position model. The record is from RNAcentral.
CAAUAGCGUAUAUUAAAGUUGUUGCAGUUAAAAAGCUCGUAGUUGGAUUUCUGGCCGAGUGUCCCUAGGCCAGCUUGACGUUUGGUCCUAGGCGCUCUGCCAUCCUUCUGUUAACCUUCGCCUCGUUCACUCGUGGCGCUGGGGCUCAGAUAUUUUACCUUGAGAAAAUUAGAGUGUUUCAGGCAGGCUUUCGCCGGAAUACAUUAGCAUGGAAUAAUGGAAAAGGACUUCAACCUCUUCUGUUGGUCUGAGAGGCUGUAGUAAUGAUUAAUAGGGAUAGUUGGGGGGCUCAGUAUUGACCGGCCAGCGGUGAAAUUCUUGGAUUCGGUCAAGACUAACUUAUGCGAAAGCAUUCACCAAGGAUGUCUUCUUUAAUCAAGAACGAAAGUUGGGGGAUCGAAGAUGAUCAGAUACCGU